CAGCCGCCGCGGGAAUACGUAGGGUGCGAGCGUUAAUCGGAAUUACUGGGCGUAAAGCGUGCGCAGGCGGUUUUGUAAGACAGAGGUGAAAUCCCCGGGCUCAACCUGGGAACUGCCUUUGUGACUGCAAGGCUAGAGUACGGCAGAGGGGGAUGGAAUUCCGCGUGUAGCAGUGAAAUGCGUAGAUAUGCGGAGGAACACCGAUGGCGAAGGCAAUCCCCUGGGCCUGUACUGACGCUCAUGCACGAAAGCGUGGGGAGCAAACAGGAUUAGAUACCCGAGUAGUCCCUGUCUCUUAUAC
This 301-nucleotide ribosomal RNA is filed under the name uncultured bacterium. RNAcentral's name for it is "partial 16S ribosomal RNA". It matches the Rfam family "Bacterial small subunit ribosomal RNA", at positions 509 to 807 of the family's 1533-position model. The record is from RNAcentral.